GUUUAAAUAGCUCAAUAAGAGUGUGGCAUUGAAGCUGCUGAGGUGACGAAUGUCUUUGAAUA
RNAcentral lists this transfer RNA (62 nucleotides) under Cermatobius longicornis. Its description in RNAcentral is "tRNA-Phe". Lineage: Eukaryota; Metazoa; Arthropoda; Chilopoda; Lithobiomorpha; Henicopidae. The record is from RNAcentral.